GGAUAUGAGGGCAGUCUGGCUGCAACAUCUGUCACCCCAUUGGUCUCCAGGGUUGAUUUGACUGGCUAAGCGGGCCCUUCCUCCCUCACCUCCGAUAGAGGAGGACCAGUUUUUGGUCAAGGGUGUACAACUAGCUGUGCUCCUCU
Molecule: small nuclear RNA, 146 nt
Filed under: Neotoma lepida (desert woodrat)
Lineage: Eukaryota; Metazoa; Chordata; Mammalia; Rodentia; Cricetidae
Description: 7SK RNA
Rfam family: 7SK RNA
About the family: 7SK was discovered as an abundant small nuclear RNA in the mid-70s but a possible function has only recently been suggested.
Source: Rfam by way of RNAcentral